Molecule: ribosomal RNA, 317 nt
Filed under: uncultured eukaryote
Lineage: Eukaryota
Description: partial 18S ribosomal RNA
Rfam family: Eukaryotic small subunit ribosomal RNA
Source: RNAcentral
CCCUUAGACGUUCUGGGCCGCACGCGCGCUACACUGACCAGUGCAACAAGCAUCCGUCCUUGGCCGACAGGCCCGGGCAAUCUUUGAACGCUGGUCGUGAUGGGGAUAGACUUUUGCAAUUUUUGGUCUUCAACGAGGAAUUCCUAGUAAACGCAAGUCAUCAACUUGCAUUGAUUACGUCCCUGCCCUUUGUACACACCGCCCGUCGCACCUACCGAUUGAAUGGUCCGGUGAAGCCUCCGGAUUGGCGUGCACCCUCGGGUGCUGCCGAGAAGUUGGCUAAACCUUACCAUUUAGAGGAAGGUGAAGUCGUAACA